This 256-nucleotide ribosomal RNA is filed under the name uncultured bacterium. RNAcentral's name for it is "partial 16S ribosomal RNA". It matches the Rfam family "Bacterial small subunit ribosomal RNA", at positions 524 to 777 of the family's 1533-position model. The record is from RNAcentral.
UACGGGGGGGGGCAAGCGUUGUUCGGAAUUACUGGGCGUAAAGGGCGCGUAGGCGGCCUGCUAAGUCGGAUGUGAAAUCCCUCGGCUCAACCGAGGAACUGCAUCCGAUACUGGCGGGCUUGAAUCCGGGAGAGGGAUGUGGAAUUCCAGGUGUAGCGGUGAAAUGCGUAGAUAUCUGGAGGAACACCGGUGGCGAAGGCGGCAUCCUGGACUACUACUGACGCUGAGGGAGCGAAAGCCAGGGGAGCAAAGCGGG